UGUUAGCCCAGUUUCACUCGAUAGUAAUGUGUUGAAUUUUUUCUAGAUUUCUUGAAGUUGUGGUUAAUUAUGUGUUGUGUCGCUUGCAUGUACAACCCUGCACUCUGUGGACCUUCCCAAAUUACGCCCCAAGUCCAUGUGAAAAUGAGAUAACCUCCUAAAGCGGACAUGAGCAGGACAUUAGUCAGACAGAAAAGGUCGAUGAGAGCCAAAGAGAAGUCAAGUAGUGGCAUGACAUAUUGACAAUUAGUACAAAUCUUAUGGCUACACAUGUUAUAACUUUGACUACCUGGCGAUGGGUCCAAAUUCCAGUGCUGUAUAAACUCAAGAGGCAGUGUUGCUAUCUAUGUUAAGAGCUACUAUUUCAGCAUGAUGCUCUUUUUUUUGUCUAUGGCUGCAUAAUAGAAAAUGGGAAAUGAAAUUUUUGUUACAUGAAUUAUGGUCCCAACUGUAGCAAUAUAUUGAGAGACACAU
This is a long non-coding RNA of Brachypodium distachyon (stiff brome), 474 nucleotides long. RefSeq lists it as uncharacterized. The transcript has 3 exons. The record is from RefSeq and is a predicted model, not a curated record. Lineage: Eukaryota; Viridiplantae; Streptophyta; Magnoliopsida; Poales; Poaceae.